This 89-nucleotide microRNA precursor is filed under the name Eptesicus fuscus (big brown bat). RNAcentral's name for it is "microRNA efu-mir-9296 precursor". The record is from miRBase by way of RNAcentral. Lineage: Eukaryota; Metazoa; Chordata; Mammalia; Chiroptera; Vespertilionidae.
GCUCUGGGCCUCCAGCUUGUGGAACAGGUCUUGCCAGGCCAGGUCCUGGAAGAAGCUGUUGUAGCCAUAAUGCACGAAGCCCAGGUGCC